Molecule: ribosomal RNA, 298 nt
Filed under: uncultured Pseudomonadota bacterium
Lineage: Bacteria; Pseudomonadati; Pseudomonadota
Description: uncultured proteobacterium partial 16S ribosomal RNA
Rfam family: Bacterial small subunit ribosomal RNA
Source: RNAcentral
AAUGAACGCUGGCGGCAGGCCUAACACAUGCAAGUCGAACGGGCACUUUCGGGUGCUAGUGGCGGACGGGUGAGUAACGCGUGGGAACAUACCCAAAGGUACGGAAUAGCCUCUGGAAACGGAGAGUAAUACCGUAUGUGCCCUUCGGGGGAAAGAUUUAUCGCCUUUGGAUUGGCCCGCGUUGGAUUAGGUAGUUGGUGGGGUAAUGGCCUACCAAGCCGACGAUCCAUAGCUGGUUUGAGAGGAUGAUCAGCCACACUGGGACUGACGACACGGCCCAGACACCUACGGGUGGCAG